RNAcentral lists this unclassified non-coding RNA (306 nucleotides) under Hevea brasiliensis (rubber tree). The record is from RNAcentral. Lineage: Eukaryota; Viridiplantae; Streptophyta; Magnoliopsida; Malpighiales; Euphorbiaceae.
GAAUCCAUGGGAGAAGAAAUCAAAAGCUAUGGUGGAUUUCGGUGAUGAGGAGUAUAAACACAUGGUAUGUGUUGAUGGAGCAGCAAUUGAGAGACCUAUCACCUUGAAGCCAGGCGAGGAAUGGACAGGGCGUUUAGAGCUCUCAGUUGUACCUUCGAGUUUCUGUAGUGAACACUAUGAUCUUCAGAGAAGAGGUCUUUGAAGAAUACAUGAGUUUUCAAGAGUAAAUGGCCCUAUAUGAUGUUGUAAUGGCUCUGAUAAUGCUUGAAAACCUCUCUCUUUCUUUCUUUUUUUUUUUUAAAAAAA